Long non-coding RNA from Scomber scombrus (Atlantic mackerel), 2412 nucleotides. RefSeq lists it as uncharacterized. The transcript is spliced from 5 exons. Lineage: Eukaryota; Metazoa; Chordata; Actinopteri; Scombriformes; Scombridae. The record is from RefSeq and is a predicted model, not a curated record.
UUAAAUAAGCAGCGCGAUAGUGCAGGCUGGUUGUAUAACGGGGCUUCACCUCAGCUGAACUUGACGCAUCUGGCAGCGCAGGACGCACGGCGCAGUCUGCACAGCCUGCGUGUCCCCGUUGAACCGAGCUGGAUGGCCGCGGAGACAGACGCAGAGAAGGGGGGAAACGCAUCUUUUUUUCCUUUUUUUAAUGGUCCGGAGACCGUCUCUUAAUAUAUCCGACAUGACGACUUUCCCUACUCGACAGCCUGCAAAUAUUGUCGCCGUGUGCUUUUUUUUUUAUUGUCUGGGUCCAGACACACAGCAGAAGGCACCGUCUAGGAAAUAUUAAAGUUGGACACCCCGGAGGAAGAGACCAUACAACUUGAACUUGAGACCUAUCGGGGUGCAGAGGACACGAGCAGACGUGGAAGCAGAAGGCGGCCCCCAGACGCCGAAUUACAGAGAGGAUAUGUGGACAUACUGCGUGCAGCAACUGAGGGAUCCGGCACAAUGAACGGCGGAGAUUUCGGCGCUUUACCCCGAUAGCUGAUGGCUGUGUGUGUGCCAGUUGCCUCAAAGUCUCAGUGGGCUCAUUAUUUGGGAAUGACGUCUGUUUUCCUGGUCAGACCUCAAUGUUAAGGUCGAGGAAACCUGAGAGAAGUCGAGCUGACAGACCUGGAGCUGCAGACAGGAGGAGGCCAGCCAAGCAUAUGUGACACACAGGAAGUACUUUGACAGGACUGUUUGAUUCACUCGAACACAAAUAAGUCGUAAAUACCAAUAUCUCAGUUUAUGAUACACAGUUAGAUCUAAAGGUCACAUACUGGAUGUGUCAUAUACACAGAAAAGACCAUUCAACACAAAGGUAUUCCACAUAUAAAAUAAACCCCUCCCUGUGUCCACUUCAUUCAUUCAUUUAUAAAUGUAAGAUAGACAUGAAUGCCCCAGUUGCUGAGAAAGCUCUAAAAAGGCCUUAAAUAUUUAUUGUAGUAAAUGGAUGGGAUUAAAUUUUUCACCUCUUUCAGUCUAUAUGUGUUAUCUGGUAAAAAAUUAUGUUGCAACAUAGCAACAGUGUAUUUUAAAAAUGACUGAAAUUAGCUUGAUUUUUAAAAAAAAUCUAAAUUAUCUGUGUGUUCGAUCAAAUCUACCCUAUUUAUAUAAUAAUAGUUAAAGUUUGAGAAAUGGUCAAAAGGUUAAAUAUGUUUCUUGGUGGUUGUAAUUGUUAUGUAAGGUUUGUAUUUUUACUACAUUAACAUGUAUAAAUGCACACUUUGAGGUUGGUUUAUGGCCAUGUGUGUCUUUUCCUGCUUCCCUGAAGGCCGUUUUCUGUCCGUUACUGUCAGCAGUCUGACAUGAGAGACACCUGCAGGAGUUUAACUGUCCUUUGGGGUGAGGUAGUAGGUUGUAUAGUUUUAGGGUCAUUCCCAAGCUGUCAGAUGACUAUACAACUUACUGUCUUUCCUGAAGCGGCUGUAAAGGCGUCGUCGUUACCAUCAUCAUUAUGACUAAGGACGACAUGACUAAUCCUUGUACUUUUUGUUGUUUUUUUAAUUGAAGUUGUGCUAUUCUCCUAUCUCAAAUUAUUUUAUCCCAAACUGAUACACACGACAUUUACCGAAUACAUGGGACUUUCCUUUCUUUUCAGGUGAGCCUGAGGUGUAUAAAAAGAUUGCUUUCCUUUAUUAAAAUUAAACUAGUAAAUAAAUGAGGAAAACUUUAGAGAUGAUCUUAGUUUUUACACAUUUAAGAUGUUGUAUCAACACGUGUAGCAUGAUGCAGGGAAGAGUUUUCUCACAAUUUGUGGAAUUUAAGCUGAAUUUUUGUGUUUUUUGGUUAUUAAUUUAAGUGUGAUGUUUGGAAUCUCUUACUUUAAAUGUGGAAGCUUUAACAACAUGCCCACAAUUUGAUCAUUUAAUUGUAAUUAUAAGGAAAUGUAACAUAUUAACUCUAAUGUUAUCACCAAGCUUCUCUGGGUCCUCUGUAACAACAACAAUAUAGUUCUGUCUUCAUUUAUGCAGAUGAUCUCACAUGCACAUCCUCCUCUUCCUCCCCUCACGGGUGACUUAUGGUGUUCGUACAGGGUGAGGUAGUAGGUUGUGUGGUUUCAGGGUUGUGAUUUUACCCCAUCAGGAGCUAACUAUACAACCUACUGCCUUCCCUGGAGGGCAGCAAUACAUCACUGGAGCACAACGUCUUUGUCACCAUUUUCUAAAAGGAGCAGCAUUUGAUUUCAAAGGUUUCACUAAUGGGUGAGUGCUGCUGCAUCCCAUUGUGCAUUUCACAGCAACAUUUAUCACUUCACAGAAUUAAAACUGCUUACAAAAAGUACAGUUGGUCUGAGAAAUGAAACUUUUUUAAAGCAUUAUUCAUGUUUUAACUGUGUACUGUUCAUUAAUAAAUAAAUAAAGCCUGGAUAAGAAAUAAUAUCAA